GAUGAACGCUGGCGGUAUGCUUAACACAUGCAAGUCGAACGGACUCUUCGGAGUUAGUGGCGGACGGGUGAGUAACGCGUGAGAAUCUGGCUUUGGGUUCGGGACAACCACUGGAAACGGUGGCUAAUACCGGAUGUGCCGAGAGGUAAAAGAGAAAUUGCCUGAAGAUGAGCUCGCGUCUGAUUAGCUAGUUGGUGAGGUAAAGGCUCACCAAGGCAGCGAUCAGUAGCUGGUCUGAGAGGAUGACCAGCCACACUGGGACUGAGACACGGCCCAGACUCCUACGGGAGGCAGCAGUGGGGAAUUUGCCGCAAUGGGCGAAAGCCUGACGGAGCAAUACCGCGUGAGGGAAGAAGGCUCUUGGGUUGUAAACCUCUUUUCUUAGGGAAGAACAAAAUGACGGUACCUAAGGAAUCAGCAUCGGCUAACUCCGUG
This 435-nucleotide ribosomal RNA is filed under the name uncultured bacterium. RNAcentral describes it as "partial 16S ribosomal RNA". It matches the Rfam family "Bacterial small subunit ribosomal RNA", at positions 28 to 507 of the family's 1533-position model. The record is from RNAcentral.